GAUGAACGCUAGCGGCAGGCUUAACACAUGCAAGUCGAGGGGCAGCAUGAUGUAGCAAUACAUUGAUGGCGACCGGCGCAAGGGUGCGUAACGCGUGAGUAACAUGCCCGUAUCAGGGGGAUAACCCGAAGAAAUUCGGACUAAUACCCCAUAGUAAUUUGUGGAGGCAUCUUGAGGUAAUUAAAUCUUCGGAGGUAUAAGAUGGGCAUGCGUAGCAUUAGCUAGAUGGUGCGGUAACGGCGUACCAUGGCGACGAUGCUUAGGGGUUCUGAGAGGAAGGUCCCCCACACUGGUACUGAGAUACGGACCAGACUCCUACGGGAGCAGCAGUGAGGAUAUUGGUCAAUGGUCGAAGACUGAACCAGCCAUGCCGCGUGCAGGAAGAAUGUCUUAAUGGAUUGUAAACUGCUUUGUAUGGGAAUAAGUAAUAGCUUUGCGAAGUUAGAUGCAUGUACCAUACGAAUAAGGAUCGG
RNAcentral lists this ribosomal RNA (473 nucleotides) under uncultured bacterium. Its description in RNAcentral is "bacterial SSU rRNA". It matches the Rfam family "Bacterial small subunit ribosomal RNA", at positions 28 to 496 of the family's 1533-position model. The record is from RNAcentral.